Molecule: ribosomal RNA, 253 nt
Filed under: uncultured bacterium
Lineage: Bacteria
Description: partial 16S ribosomal RNA
Rfam family: Bacterial small subunit ribosomal RNA
Source: RNAcentral
UACGUAGGGGGCUAGCGUUGUCCGGAUUUAUUGGGCGUAAAGAGCGUGUAGGCGGCCAGGUAGGUCUGGUGUGAAAACUCGAGGCUUAACCUCGAGAUGUCGGCGGAAACCAUCUGGCUAGAGUCCGGAAGAGGAGAGUGGAAUUCCUGGUGUAGCGGUGAAAUGCGCAGAUAUCAGGAAGAACACCCGUGGCGAAGGCGGCUCUCUGGGACGGUACUGACGCUGAGACGCGAAAGCGUGGGGAGCGAACAGG